AUCAAUUAGUUAACACCUUUAUUCUGCUAUUUUGACGCUCAUAAUUGUACAAGAGGACAAUUACAUAAUUCGAAAUUUAAAGGCAAGCAUUGUAAUGCUUAAUCGACAAGUUUAGAAUCUUGCUUUAUUACACUGUGAUUUUAUUAUUUGUGAAUGAAUGUAGUGAAGCUUCACAUUCAAAUCCAACAUCCAAAUUAACAGCUUUAUAUAUAUGCUUAUAAUCAUAGUGCACGUGUUAUACCUUCUACCUAAUUGACAUCCAUACAUAAACGACCAACUAUCUCUGAACACGAUACUUUCAUCCUACUGGAACUCAUAUCAAUCCAAAAUAGUUCAACACAUUCCUAUAUAAUCACAAACUGAAAUGAAAACGAUUACUAAAAAUUUUAUCUCAUUUUUGAGUCACUCUAUAAACAGAUUUACAAAGCAGCUGACAGAAAAUCAACUAAAACUAACAGGAACUAUUCUGUUACUCUAACAUGAAAUUAACCACAAUCAGUCUUUAGUUUUGACUAUAAACGGUAUACUACUAGCCUCAUACUCAAGUGUCCAUACAAUUCUGAGAAAACAAAUAGUUAUGUGCAUAACAUAACUAGCAUUCAAUUCAUAAUAUUAGCUAUGUAAAAACAUCCUACAUAUCGUCCACUCAAACAAUCAUAACAUCAAUAACAUGAACUCUAACAAUCACAUAAUAAGCUAUUUACUAAACGAAAUACAUCCAGCUAUAAGCAACAAUAAAACUGCAGUAGAUUAAUUGAGCGUGAGAAAACCUUCAUUUCACCUUCAAAUGGAGCUAUUAAGCAAAACAAAAGCAAAAUAAGUGCCUGGAAAUUGAAGUAUAAAAAGGGUAAGGGAUCAGUCAAAAAGCAACAGCACCAGCAAAGUGCCCAGAUUCACACAACCAGGAGUGAAAUUGAUUCAGAAAGACCAAUAAAACAGUAAACCAAACAGCAACCUUUAAAUCAUGCUUUUGAAAUCCAAUCUCAAUUCAACUCCACACUAAAUGAAUAAGAAAUUGUAUCAAUACAUUAAAACUUUAAAAUCAUAGAAGAAGCUCAAUGAAACAGUAAUUCUGUGAGGUUUCCGGUCAUUUCUUUUUAGGAUUUCUUUUUCACUUUUCAAUUUAUUUUCUUUUCUAUGGAUCUCUCAAACUCUGCCUUCCUAUCUUAUAUUUUCCAAUCUAUCUAUCUUACUUUCUUUGAACUCUCUAUUGUUUUAAGCUCUCUUAGAUUCUCAAUUGUCUAUCUCUGUGUGUUGCAAACUCUAUCUUUUUAGUAUUUUUCCAGAGUCUUCUUUCUAUGUGUUCUUAGUUGUCUCUUUCUCUCUUUGGACUCAAUGUGUGUCCCUUACAGUCUGAUUUCCAGCCUUUAAAUAAGCAUACCGUUAGUGCACUUAUCACUAUCACUCUUAUCUCUUCAAUUUUCAAUUCCCUCAUUACUCUAUUAUUCACCCAUUGAGCCUAGGCAGACAUAUGGGACUAGUAGUCCUAAAUUAAUCACUUAGUUUCCUUGCUUUAUGUAUAAGAACAAUGACUUAACGGAUUGCAAACCAACACAAAUAAAUUAGAAAUGAAUUAGAUGAGUGAAUUAAAACGGAAUUUAAUUAAAACUAUAUAAACUUAGAACAUGAAGGAUUAUAUUACUAAACCAAAGUCAUUGAAAACCUAUAUGACAUGAUAACAACCAAAUAUGUACAUGAAUAAACCGAACAACCCUCAAUUUUGAAUAAGAAACAGACAAACACAACAUAACAUAAAUCCGGUCACGAACUAAUAAUUCUAAAAAAACUAAAUAAAGAUAACAAGAAAGGAGUAGAAGAAGAUGACAAAAGAACAAAAUGAAAUAUAUAAAAGGGUGAACAUAAAUACCUAAAAACUCGGACAUUAAAAGUUGCGAUGAAUCUUUAAAUUCUUAAAUUUCUGGCCGAAUUUGACAUUAUUCGGAUUCGACCUUAAACUCUAUUGAAUUAUUUAUUUGAGGUUUUUGGGGAUUUUAGGGUUAAUCAUCAAUUCAAUAUUCGACGAGUUUCAGAGGGAUUUGAAGAAAUACAAUUAGAGAUUAGAAUAUGGGAGGUUAUGGGGGUCACAUGUGUUUGGGUAAACUAGGAUUUGGGGUUUCAAAUUCCGAUCGAAGAUUCGACGAGUUUGGCUAUCAUUUGAAGGAAACGGUUUAGGGAUUUGAGAAGAGGGGGUUGAGGGGACUUUGGGGUGUAAUUUUGGUAAGGUUUGGUGGCUGACCACCGUCGUGGGUGAUUUUCGAACGGCAGUCACCGGCGAGGUUACCUGGGUCUCUAAAGAUGAAGGAGAGGGAUAAAUGGGGUUCUGAUUUGGGGUGUAUGAGUUAUACGAGUUGGGUAUAUUAAAAUUAGA
This 2368-nucleotide long non-coding RNA is filed under the name Nicotiana benthamiana. RNAcentral's name for it is "long non-coding RNA (NBEN_LNC011669)". The record is from RNAcentral. Lineage: Eukaryota; Viridiplantae; Streptophyta; Magnoliopsida; Solanales; Solanaceae.